AAUGUACUCCCUCCGUCCGGAAAUACUUGUCCUACAAAUGGAUAUAAUGGAUGUAUCUAUAACUAAAAUAAGUCUAGAUACGUUCAUCCUUAGGACAAGUAUUUUCGGACGGAGGGAGUAGAAG
Non-coding RNA from Hordeum vulgare subsp. vulgare (domesticated barley), 124 nucleotides. Lineage: Eukaryota; Viridiplantae; Streptophyta; Magnoliopsida; Poales; Poaceae. The record is from Rfam.